CCUACGGGAGGCAGCAGUGAGGAAUAUUGGACAAUGGGUGGAAGCCUGAUCCAGCCAUCCCGCGUGCAGGAAGACGGCCCUAUGGGUUGUAAACUGCUUUUAUCUGGGGAUAAACCUACUUACGUGUAAGUAGCUGAAGGUACCAGAAGAAUAAGCACCGGCUAACUCCGUGCCAGCAGGCGCGGUAAU
This 189-nucleotide ribosomal RNA is filed under the name uncultured bacterium. RNAcentral describes it as "partial 16S rRNA". It matches the Rfam family "Bacterial small subunit ribosomal RNA", at positions 338 to 524 of the family's 1533-position model. The record is from RNAcentral.